Molecule: ribosomal RNA, 900 nt
Filed under: Rothia kristinae
Lineage: Bacteria; Bacillati; Actinomycetota; Actinomycetes; Micrococcales; Micrococcaceae
Description: bacterial SSU rRNA
Rfam family: Bacterial small subunit ribosomal RNA
Source: RNAcentral
GGAAUUAUUGGGCGUAAAGAGCUCGUAGGCGGCUUGUCGCGUCUGCUGUGAAAGCCCGGGGCUUAACUCCCGGGUGUGCAGUGGGUACGGGCAGGCUAGAGUGCAGUAGGGGUAACUUGGAAUUCCUGGUGUAGCGGUGAAAUGCGCAGAUAUCAGGAGGAACACCGAUGGCGAAGGCAGGUUACUGGGCUGUUACUGACGCUGAGGAGCGAAAGCAUGGGGAGCGAACAGGAUUAGAUACCCUGGUAGUCCAUGCCGUAAACGUUGGGCACUAGGUGUGGGGGACAUUCCACGUUUUCCGCGCCGUAGCUAACGCAUUAAGUGCCCCGCCUGGGGAGUACGGCCGCAAGGCUAAAACUCAAAGGAAUUGACGGGGGCCCGCACAAGCGGCGGAGCAUGCGGAUUAAUUCGAUGCAACGCGAAGAACCUUACCAAGGCUUGACAUACACCGGAUCGUUCCAGAGAUGGUUCUUCCCUUUUGGGCUGGUGUACAGGUGGUGCAUGGUUGUCGUCAGCUCGUGUCGUGAGAUGUUGGGUUAAGUCCCGCAACGAGCGCAACCCUCGUUCUAUGUUGCCAGCACGUGAUGGUGGGGACUCAUAGGAGACUGCCGGGGUCAACUCGGAGGAAGGUGGGGAUGACGUCAAAUCAUCAUGCCCCUUAUGUCUUGGGCUUCACGCAUGCUACAAUGGCCGGUACAAUGGGUUGCGAUACUGUGAGGUGGAGCUAAUCCCAAAAAGCCGGUCUCAGUUCGGAUUGGGGUCUGCAACUCGACCCCAUGAAGUCGGAGUCGCUAGUAAUCGCAGAUCAGCAACGCUGCGGUGAAUACGUUCCCGGGCCUUGUACACACCGCCCGUCAAGUCACGAAAGUUGGUAACACCCGAAGCCGAUGGCCUAACCCU